This 322-nucleotide ribosomal RNA is filed under the name uncultured Bacteroidota bacterium. RNAcentral describes it as "bacterial SSU rRNA". It matches the Rfam family "Bacterial small subunit ribosomal RNA", at positions 28 to 351 of the family's 1533-position model. Lineage: Bacteria; Pseudomonadati; Bacteroidota. The record is from RNAcentral.
GAUGAACGCUAGCGGCAGGCCUAAUACAUGCAAGUCGAGGGGUAAGGCUCUUUCGGGAGUACACGACCGGCGCACGGGUGCGUAACGCGUAUGCAACCUACCUUUAACAGUGGGAUAGCCCCGAGAAAUCGGGAUUAAUACCGCAUAACAAUGCGAGCUGGCAUCAGUUUGCAUUUAAAACUCCGGUGGUUAAAGAUGGGCAUGCGUGACAUUAGCUAGUUGGUAAGGUAACGGCUUACCAAGGCUACGAUGUCUAGGGGUUCUGAGAGGAUGAUCCCCCACACUGGUACUGAGACACGGACCAGACUCCUACGGGUGGCAG